UUUAUGGAGAGUUUGAUCCUGGCUCAGGAUGAACGCUGGCGGCGUGCCUAAUACAUGCAAGUCGAGCGAACGGACGAGAAGCUUGCUUCUCUGAUGUUAGCGGCGGACGGGUGAGUAACACGUGGAUAACCUACCUAUAAGACUGGGAUAACUUCGGGAAACCGGAGCUAAUACCGGAUAAUAUUUUGAACCGCAUGAUUCAAAAGUG
Molecule: ribosomal RNA, 208 nt
Filed under: Staphylococcus aureus
Lineage: Bacteria; Bacillati; Bacillota; Bacilli; Caryophanales; Staphylococcaceae
Description: partial 16S ribosomal RNA
Rfam family: Bacterial small subunit ribosomal RNA
Source: RNAcentral